This 23-nucleotide microRNA is filed under the name Macaca mulatta (Rhesus monkey). Its description in RNAcentral is "mml-miR-7195-3p". The record is from miRBase by way of RNAcentral. Lineage: Eukaryota; Metazoa; Chordata; Mammalia; Primates; Cercopithecidae.
UAUCCUCCCCUCUCCCCCUGCAG